UUGGAGGCAAGUCUGGUGCCAGCAGCCGCGGUAAUUCCAGCUCCAAUAGCGUAUAUUAAAGUUGUUGCAGUUAAAAAGCUCGUAGUUGAAUUUCGAGACCGGUUUACUGGUCGUGCUUUUGUACGUACUGGUAUUAUUGGUUUCUCCUUUCUGACGAAUCAUAAUGCCAUUAAUUUGGUGUUUUGGGGAAUCAGGACUGUUACUUUGAAAAAAUUAGAGUGUUUAAAGCAGGCUUACGCUUGAAUACAUUAGCAUGGAAUAACGAAAUAGGACGUUGAUUUUA
Molecule: ribosomal RNA, 283 nt
Filed under: uncultured Glomus
Lineage: Eukaryota; Fungi; Glomeromycota; Glomeromycetes; Glomerales; Glomeraceae
Description: partial 18S ribosomal RNA
Rfam family: Eukaryotic small subunit ribosomal RNA
Source: RNAcentral